CCAGACUCCUACGGGAGGCAGCAGCUAAGAAUAUUCCGCAAUGGACGGAAGUCUGACGGAGCGACGCCGCGUGGAUGAAGAAGGCUGAAAAGUUGUAAAAUCCUUUUGUUGAUGAAGAAUAAGGAGAAGAGGGAAUGCUUCUCUGAUGACGGUAAUCGACGAAUAAGCCCCGGCUAAUUACGUGCCAGCAGCCGCGGUAACACGUAAGGGGCGAGCGUUGUUCGGAAUUAUUGGGCGUAAAGGGCAUGUAGGCGGUUAUGUAAGCCUGAUGUGAAAUCCUGGGGCUUAACCCCAGAAUAGCAUUGGGUACUGUGUAACUUGAAUUACGGAAGGGAAACUGGAAUUCCAAGUGUAGGGGUGGAAUCUGUAGAUAUUUGGAAGAACACCGGUGGCGAAGGCGGGUUUCUGGCCGAUAAUUGACGCUGAGAUGCGAAAGUGUGGGGAUCGAACAGGAUUAGAUACCCUGGUAGUCCACACCGUAAACGAUGUACACUAGGUGUUGGGGCAAGAGCUUCAGUGCCAAAGCAAACGCGAUAAGUGUACCGCCUGGGGAGUAUGCCCGCAAGGGUGAAACUCAAAGGAAUUGACGGGGGCCCGCACAAG
This 603-nucleotide ribosomal RNA is filed under the name uncultured bacterium. Its description in RNAcentral is "bacterial SSU rRNA". It matches the Rfam family "Bacterial small subunit ribosomal RNA", at positions 331 to 929 of the family's 1533-position model. The record is from RNAcentral.